AACGAACGCUGGCGGCAGGCCUAACACAUGCAAGUCGAACGGGCGUAGCAAUACGUCAGUGGCAGACGGGUGAGUAACGCGUGGGAACGUACCCUUCGGUUCGGAAUAACCCGGGGAAACUCGGGCUAAUACCGGAUACGUCCGCAAGGAGAAAGAUUUAUCGCCGAUGGAUCGGCCCGCGUCGGAUUAGCUAGUUGGUGGGGUAAUGGCCCACCAAGGCGACGAUCCGUAGCUGGUCUGAGAGGAUGAUCAGCCACACUGGGACUGAGACACGGCCCAGACUCCUACGGGUGGCAG
RNAcentral lists this ribosomal RNA (297 nucleotides) under uncultured Pseudomonadota bacterium. Its description in RNAcentral is "uncultured proteobacterium partial 16S ribosomal RNA". It matches the Rfam family "Bacterial small subunit ribosomal RNA", at positions 29 to 351 of the family's 1533-position model. The record is from RNAcentral. Lineage: Bacteria; Pseudomonadati; Pseudomonadota.